UGGGGAAUUGUUCGCAAUGGGCGCAAGCCUGACGACGCAACGCCGCGUGGAGGAUGAAGGUCUUCGGAUUGUAAACUCCUGUUGCCCGGGACGAAAUGCUUCGACCUAACACGUCGAAGUUUGACGGUACCGGGUGAGGAAGCCCCGGCUAACUCUGUGCCAGCAGCCGCGGUAAUACAGAGGGGGCAAGCGUUGUUCGGAAUUACUGGGCGUAAAGGGCGCGUAGGCGGCCUGCUAAGUCGAACGUGAAAUCCCCGGGCUCAACCCGGGAACUGCGUCCGAUACUGGAAGGCUUGAAUCCGGGAGAGGGAUGCGGAAUUCCAGGUGUAGCGGUGAAAUGCGUAGAUAUCUGGAGGAACACCGGUGGCGAAGGCGGCAUCCUGGACCGGCAUUGACGCUGAGGCGCGAAAGCCAGGGGAGCAAACGGGAUUAGAUACCCGCGUAGUCC
Molecule: ribosomal RNA, 448 nt
Filed under: uncultured bacterium
Lineage: Bacteria
Description: bacterial SSU rRNA
Rfam family: Bacterial small subunit ribosomal RNA
Source: RNAcentral